Molecule: long non-coding RNA, 1450 nt
Organism: Lagenorhynchus albirostris (white-beaked dolphin)
Lineage: Eukaryota; Metazoa; Chordata; Mammalia; Artiodactyla; Delphinidae
Exons: 2
Source: RefSeq, a predicted model, not a curated record
CUCGCGGCGCUCUGCGUCCACCGCUGAUAUCGCCGAGGGCACCUGAGGUCGCGGGGUCUCCCCAAGCCAGACGCCCCACACCCACGGGCCGGCCUGCUGACGCUCCCGCUCCAAUUUACAUUUUUAGUCACCCGCCUCUUCUCUGGUUUGGGGAAUGUAGGCUAAAAAAAGGCGGCUGCGAGGCCCAGGUUGCCAAUUUUGGAGCUUUGCUACAGUCAGGCCGCCCCUGGAGGAGCGUGUUCGGUGAAGGUGGGAGUUGCAGCGCUCCUAUCCCCGCGCCUUUUUUGGGCAUCCCUUGGAACAGAGCUCCCAUAUUUCACUGGAUAUCAUCCAGUUCCAGCUGGAGGAGGCCUGCGCUGGAGUUGACGCCUCCGAUCCGCCUCCACCUGUUACAGAUGUCCCUACCCGGAGACCUUUCUGUUACUGGAACCUGGAGGCGAGGACGGGAGAAGCAGGAUGCCUUGCAGCGGAACUGAGAAGUGCAUAAUCUUUCAGCCCAAGACCUCCAACAGAAAAUGCAAGAAGGGAAAUUGUUUUCCACUUAGCUAUUUUUAAAGUGCUGAUACCUGAGCCUGGGCAUCAGUUUGGAAGGAUGGUUGCAACACUUCUCAAACCUGAAACAUUUAGCUUUUACCCGUGCUUCUGAACCCUCAGUCCUUCUCAGGACACUGUAUAAAAUGGCAUUCAGACCUCUCGGUCCUAAAACGUGCGGUAUAAAGAAAGGGCCUCUGGAGUGGGGCGGCCUGGGUUUGAAUUGUGCCCUCACCCCUUCCUAAAUGUGCGACCUUGAUUACAUCGUCUAACUCUUUUAAGCCGUAGUCUUCCACGCUGGCAUACGGAAAAUGACAGAAUCGCUGUGAUGACUGAAUGGGUAAAGUGAGAUGCCCUAAGACGUUGUUGGUGUGUCAUUAACUGUUAAUAUUAUUUUUAUCUUUCUGAAUUCUGAACCUGCACAAUGGCCCCCGUCCUUUCAAUCCCAAAGACGCCCUUUGAUGCCUAACAGCCCGCCUGAAAUUCCCUAGUCUAAGAAGAAAUCCUCUGAAGAACUGCACUAAGCAGUUAAAUCCAUGCCAAUUUAGCUGUCAAGCAAAGCAGAGAUUAAGGAAUUUGCCUGAGGUCACACAGGAGCCAACGCUGGGGUCAGUAUUUGAAGCCUGACUCUUCACAGAGCCUCAAGGACUACCACAUACCCAUAUUACAGGGUGUUGUGGAGACCGCGCCCACCACGCUCUGCUGUUGCUGCUGAAAUUUGAAGGAUUCAAGGUCUGCACUUUGAAUUUUGACCACCAGGCAUUUCCGGGCUUCACAAAUUAUGUUGCUCCUUCCCCACAGAUGUCAAGGAUCAAAAGUUAGGCUCAUUUCCUUCCUGCUCCUUUUACAUCUGGCGGUUUUCUUUGACUGUGUGCACCUUUUCAUUAGUCAACCAUUCAAUAAAUGCCCAUACAGUUUU